This 236-nucleotide ribosomal RNA is filed under the name Streptococcus pneumoniae. RNAcentral describes it as "partial 23S ribosomal RNA". It matches the Rfam family "Bacterial large subunit ribosomal RNA", at positions 1995 to 2230 of the family's 2925-position model. Lineage: Bacteria; Bacillati; Bacillota; Bacilli; Lactobacillales; Streptococcaceae. The record is from RNAcentral.
AAUGACAUAAUGAUGGCAGCGCUGUCUCCAGCAGAGACUCAGUGAAAUCGAAAUCGCAGUGAAGAUGCUGUGUACCCGCGGCUAGACGGAAAGACCCCGUGAACCUUUACUACAGCUUUACAUUGAACUUUGACCUGACUUGUGCAGGAUAGGUGGGAGGCUUUGAAGCCGAGACGCUAGUCUUGGUGGAGCCAUCCUUGAAAUACCACCCUGGUCAUGUCGGGGUUCUAACUCAG